This 517-nucleotide ribosomal RNA is filed under the name uncultured bacterium. RNAcentral describes it as "bacterial SSU rRNA". It matches the Rfam family "Bacterial small subunit ribosomal RNA", at positions 19 to 518 of the family's 1533-position model. The record is from RNAcentral.
AUGGCUCAGAUUGAACGCUGGCGGCGUGCUUAACACAUGCAAGUCGAACGCGAAAGGGACUUCGGUCCUGAGUAAAGUGGCGCACGGGUGAGUAACGCGUGGAUAAUCUGCCCUUAUGAUCGGGAUAACAGUUGGAAACGGCUGCUAAUACCGGAUACGCUCAAAAUGAACUUUUUUGGGGAAAGAUGGCCUCUGCUUGCAUGCUAUCACGUAAGGAUGAGUCCGCGUCCCAUUAGCUUGUUGGCGGGGUAACGGCCCACCAAGGCAACGAUGGGUAGCCGAUUUGAGAGGAUGAUCGGCCACACUGGAACUGAAACACGGUCCAGACUCCUACGGGAGGCAGCAGUGGGGAAUAUUGCGCAAUGGGCGAAAGCCUGACGCAGCGACGCCGCGUGAGGGAUGAAGGUUUUCGGAUCGUAAACCUCUGUCAGAAGGGAAGAAACUACGUUGUGCUAAUCAGCAGCGUACUGACGGUACCUUCAAAGGAAGCACCGGCUAACUCCGUGCCAGCCGCUGC